Molecule: long non-coding RNA, 649 nt
Organism: Cyanistes caeruleus (blue tit)
Lineage: Eukaryota; Metazoa; Chordata; Aves; Passeriformes; Paridae
Source: RefSeq, a predicted model, not a curated record
CGGAGCGCACAGCUCCGAGCCCCCCGGGACAGCGCGCGGCGCCGCUGCUGGUGCCGGUGAAAUGAGGAUAAGAGAGCGGCUUCCAGCAGCAAUGCCAGAACAGCUGAAGGCAGAGAAAGGGCAGGAGGCAGGUUCGGGCCGUGCGGGGCAGCAGGCGGAAAAGCCGUGGGGUGAACGCUUCAAUCCAGGUGGGCACUGCCACAAUGGAUUUUUGUGCUGCCAGGGGAGAUCUCAUUCACUACCAGCCCGCACUUGGACACGGCGUGUCCUUAGCGUGGAAAGACUGGAUGAAAAGCAAGCAAGCAACGCAUAAAGAGCAGACUGACAGCUCAUCAAUCCUUCCUCUGCAGGGUCUGCUUGUCCUGCACCAGCAUAAUCUGGCUUCAGCACGGGAUUUACAAAGACAGUGCAGACGAGCACUUUGAUCCCAUCCAGAUCAUCCAGGCAGAAAAAUGAGGCAGCAAUACUGAUUUGUAACGAAACUGACUUUUAUAUAAAUUAUAAACCCAUCCAGUUUAAAGCAGUUCAGUUGCAGUUGUGUCACUUAAGUCCGUAGAAGGCUGAGGCGUACAUAUCUCCUACAGUCAUAAAUUAACAAUAAUCAAGGAAGAGAAAGUUCAGAUAAGGCUGCAAAUACAACAAAAAAAAA